RNAcentral lists this non-coding RNA (89 nucleotides) under Schistosoma japonicum. Lineage: Eukaryota; Metazoa; Platyhelminthes; Trematoda; Strigeidida; Schistosomatidae. The record is from RNAcentral.
AUCAUACUGGCAGCUAGCUGAGUCAAUAUUUUCAGCAUGUUGGUUGUAAGCGAGCGUGCGACCGUGUUGCUGCAGGAGCUUCUAAUUGA